AUUGAACGCUGGCGGCAGGCCUAACACAUGCAAGUCGAACGGUAGCACAGAGAGCUUGCUCUCGGGUGACGAGUGGCGGACGGGUGAGUAAUGUCUGGGAAACUGCCCGAUGGAGGGGGAUAACUACUGGAAACGGUAGCUAAUACCGCAUAACGUCGCAAGACCAAAGUGGGGGACCUUCGGGCCCAACACCUUCGGUUGAGCCCAGAUGGGAUUAGCUAGUAGGUUGGGUAAUGGCUCACUUAGGCGACGAUCCCUAGCUGGUCUGAGAGGAUGACCAGCCACACUGGAACUGAGACACGGUCCAGACUACUACGGGAGGCAGCAGUGGGGAAUAUUGCACAAUGGGCGCAAGCCUGAUGCAGCCAUGCCGCGUGUAUGAAGAAGGUCUUCGGGUUGUAAAGUACUUUCAGCGGGGAGGAAGGCGGUGAAGUUAAUAGCUUCACCGAUUGACGUUACCCGCAGAAGAAGCACCGGCUAACUCCGUGCCAGCCGCCGCCGUAA
RNAcentral lists this ribosomal RNA (504 nucleotides) under uncultured bacterium. RNAcentral describes it as "partial 16S ribosomal RNA". It matches the Rfam family "Bacterial small subunit ribosomal RNA", at positions 30 to 523 of the family's 1533-position model. The record is from RNAcentral.